GGCAGAGUCAAUAGUACAUCUUGCCUGAUGCUGAGUCAAACUUAGGCUCUAAUUUUCCUGGGUGUCAGCUGACUGCAAAAACAGUGCCACGUGUCCUGGAAGGAGCGCAGGCUGAGCCAAGGCUUGGGAGCCGAUGCUGCUUGUCCUCCUGCCUGACGAUGAAAUUCGAUUUGGCUGUUCAAGGGCCUGGAAAACCCGUGUUUACUGUUCAUGAAGAGGGUAGUAAACCAUGGAAGCUGAGUCAGACCUGCCUCAACUCACUGGUCAGCAGACCUGGCUGCUGAAGAUCUAGAAGACCUGGCUGAAGCAGGACAGGCUAGCCCACUGCCAAUAUGAUCAACUGAGCCUUUCAUUUCAAUGCCAGAGAAAUGCAGAGAGAGAGAGAGAGAGAGAGAGGGAGAGAGAGAGAGAGAGAGAGAGAGAGAGAGAGAGAGAGAGAGAGGAGAGCAUGUAGAAUUUACAGGAGGAUUAUUUACAAAAGGACUUUAGUUUGUGUUUAUUUUUUCCCUAAUAUAUUUGUAUGUAUGUGCAAAGGAAGUUGGGAACAAAUUAAAAAGCAAACUCAAAGAUAAUAAUCUUCCUAUUUGUAAUGUUCAUGUUCUACCUUUUUGUUCUUUGUAUUUUUUGGUAUUGCUUUUCCCAUUUUAUUUAGUUUACUAAGUAACAUAAGAACCUCAAAAUAUAUGCAAUUAUUCCUAAUAAACUUGAGUGCUUAUCGUGUGUAAGGAACUAUACCAGGUCCUGUAUGAGACACUAAGUUCUAUAUUAGAUAGCUAAGAUUUAAUCUAUCUCAGCAUCUAGAGAUUUGCUCAACAAUUUGCAGACACCUAGAUUUUAUAACAAAAAAAAUUGUCUAAUGGACAGUGGGAAAAAUCUAAAUCACUUAUAUUUAGCACAAAGCCCAGGAUUAUUUUGAGACAAUAGCAAUUAAAUACUUUUAUCAGAAACCAAUUCCAGAAGUGUUCAUCUGUGCGUUGUGAAUCAGGAAAGGGAAAGGGAGCUAUGCCUAUGCCGUAUGUGCACUCCGGAGCUACAGGACUACCAUCUGUGAUACAGCUGCUUCCCUUAAAUGCUCACACUCAUAACUUCAAUAGGAGGCAGCACAUGGGCUAUGGAAAAGCCUAUUUGAGGAAGUUCUGCGUUUGGUAGGUAGUUGAUUGAGGUUAGGCCUCCUCUAACCUUCUAACUCUGAGACUAAGUGAAGAAGGACACACAUAUAGCCUUUGGAGUCAGGAACUUGAAUAGAAAAUGUGAUAAGUGAGCACUUUUGUCAUCUGUGAUAUUACUAUCAUUUUGGAUGAAAAAGAUGACCAUUAUUUUCGUUUCAUAAAGUCUCUUCAAUCUUUACAGUA
Molecule: long non-coding RNA, 1352 nt
Organism: Mus musculus (house mouse)
Lineage: Eukaryota; Metazoa; Chordata; Mammalia; Rodentia; Muridae
Product: predicted gene 29642
Exons: 2
Source: RefSeq, marked validated